AUUGAACGCUGGCGGCAGGCCUAACACAUGCAAGUCGAACGAGUGGCGGACGGGUGAGUAAUGUCUGGGAAACUGCCCGAUGGAGGGGGAUAACUACUGGAAACGGUAGCUAAUACCGCAUACCAUCGGAUGUGCCCAGAUGGGAGUAGCUAGUAGGUGGGGUAACGGCUCACCUAGGCGACGAUCCCUAGCUGGUCUGCGAGGAUGACCAGCGACACGGGAACUGAGACACGGUCCAGACGCCUACGGGAGGCAGCAGUGGGGAAUCGUGCACAAUGGGCGCAAGCCUGAUGCAGCCAUGCCGCGUGUAUGAAGAAGGCCUUCGGGUUGUAAAGUACUUUCAGCGAGGAGGCGUUACUCGCAGAAGAAGCACCGGCUAACUCCGUGCCAGCCGCCGCGGUAAUUC
This 406-nucleotide ribosomal RNA is filed under the name uncultured bacterium. RNAcentral's name for it is "partial 16S ribosomal RNA". It matches the Rfam family "Bacterial small subunit ribosomal RNA", at positions 29 to 526 of the family's 1533-position model. The record is from RNAcentral.